This 270-nucleotide ribosomal RNA is filed under the name uncultured archaeon. RNAcentral's name for it is "partial 16S ribosomal RNA". It matches the Rfam family "Archaeal small subunit ribosomal RNA", at positions 477 to 747 of the family's 1478-position model. The record is from RNAcentral.
CAGCACCUCAAGUGGUCAGGAUGAUUCUUGGGCUUAAAGCAUCCGUAGCCGGCGCUGUAAGUUUUCGGUUAAAUCUGUACGCUCAACGUACAGGCUGCCGGGAAUACUGCAGCGCUAGGGAGUGGGAGAGGUAGACGGUACUCGGUAGGAAGGGGUAAAAUCCUUUGAUCUAUUGAUGACCACCUGUGGCGAAGGCGGUCUACCAGAACACGUCCGACGGUGAGGGAUGAAAGCUGGGGGAGCAAACCGGAUUAGAUACCCGAGUAGUCC